This 75-nucleotide transfer RNA is filed under the name Firmicutes bacterium HGW-Firmicutes-12. RNAcentral's name for it is "tRNA-Thr". It matches the Rfam family "tRNA". From Rfam's summary of the family: Transfer RNA (tRNA) molecules are approximately 80 nucleotides in length. Their secondary structure includes four short double-helical elements and three loops (D, anti-codon, and T loops). The record is from RNAcentral. Lineage: Bacteria; Bacillati; Bacillota.
GCUGAUGUAGCUCAGUGGCAGAGCAGCUGAUUCGUAAUCAGCAGGUCAGGGGUUCAAAUCCCCCCAUCAGCUCCA